This 886-nucleotide long non-coding RNA is filed under the name Chinchilla lanigera (long-tailed chinchilla). RNAcentral describes it as "lncRNA (ENSCLAG00000028597.1)". Lineage: Eukaryota; Metazoa; Chordata; Mammalia; Rodentia; Chinchillidae. The record is from RNAcentral.
CUCUGGAGCCCAUGGUCCUGGGGGUCAAGAUUCUGGAGCCCGCAUUCUUCUGACGGGGAUCCAAGGAGGUUCUGUCUGGUUCCAUGUGAACCAGUGGCCUGGAAAAGAUCUAGGAGCCAAGCUGGAGGAGACCACGUGGGGCUUUGCCUCUGAGUCAGAGUACACAGUGAUGCUGAGAGUCCAGAGAGGGACAAGUGCUCCAUUCUGCUCCAACCUCAUGGACAGGUACAAAGCAAGGGUCCAAGUGCCAAAUGUGACAUCCCUGAAGAUUGAGAACCGGACUCCACAGGACAGUGGGAGAUACAAGGCAUGCUCCUGGUUAACUGAUGCAACAGAAGUUCUCCAAAUUUCCCACCUCAAGGUCUAUCAGCCUGUGUCCCCUCCACUGAUCCUAGUCAAGGCUUUGUCCAUUACACCAGGCUGGUGCAAUGUCACCCUGGACUGCAGGGCCACAGGGGCCACAGAGGACCUGAAUGUGACCUGGGAGAGCAAGGGCCUCCCCAGGGAGCUGGAGCUGAGAGGGACAUGAACACCAGGCCCCAACUCCUGGACCCAGGGUGUGAACAUGCCCCUGAGCGUGGCCAACACCUGCCUCACCUGUGUAGUCAGCAAUUCCAUGGACCAUAACAAUGCCACCUCAGGCCUUGGUGACAUCUGUUCACAAGGUGAGUGCUGAGCAGGGUGUGGUGGCGCACAUCUGUAAUCCCAGCACUCAGGAGGCGGACACAGGAAGAUUGUUUUGAUUUCAAGACCAGCCUGGGCUACAAAGUGAGCUCAAGGCCAGCCUAAACUGCAUAGCAAGACCCUGUCUCAAAAGACAAAAAAAAAAAAAAACACAAGAUGAGUGCCAGCUGCUGGCGGUUAGGCUGUCAGGGAGCUCAGGGAG